GGAUCGGUAGUCUAGCCUGGUUAGGAUAUCGCACUCACACUGCGGGGGUCGCUGGUUCAAAUCCGGCCCGAUCCACUA
RNAcentral lists this transfer RNA (78 nucleotides) under Candidatus Nitrosotalea okcheonensis. RNAcentral's name for it is "tRNA-Val". It matches the Rfam family "tRNA". Rfam says of the family: Transfer RNA (tRNA) molecules are approximately 80 nucleotides in length. Their secondary structure includes four short double-helical elements and three loops (D, anti-codon, and T loops). Lineage: Archaea; Thermoproteati; Nitrososphaerota; Nitrososphaeria; Nitrosotaleales; Nitrosotaleaceae. The record is from RNAcentral.